This 460-nucleotide ribosomal RNA is filed under the name uncultured bacterium. RNAcentral describes it as "partial 16S ribosomal RNA". It matches the Rfam family "Bacterial small subunit ribosomal RNA", at positions 338 to 795 of the family's 1533-position model. The record is from RNAcentral.
CCUACGGGUGGCAGCAGUGAGGAAUAUUGGUCAAUGGACGAGAGUCUGAACCAGCCAAGUAGCGUGAAGGAUGACUGCCCUAUGGGUUGUAAACUGUUUUUAUAUGGGAAUAAAACGUUCCACGUGUGGGAUUUUGUAUGUACCAUAUGAAUAAGGAACGGCUAACUUCGUGCCAGCAGCUGCGGUAAUACGGAGGAUCCGAUCGUGAUCCGGAUUUAUUGGGUUUAAAGGGAGCGUAGGUGGAUUGUUAAGUCAGUUGUGAAAGUUUGCGGCUCAACCGUAAAAUUGCAGUUGAAACUGGCAGUCUUGAGUACAGUAGAGGUGGGCAGAAUUCGUGGUGUAGCGGUGAAAUGCUUAGAUAUCACGAAGAACUCCGAUUGCGAAGGCAGUUCACUGGACUGCAACUGACACUGAGGCUCGAAAGUGUGGGUAUCAAACAGGAUUAGAUACCCCAGUAGUC